UUUAUUUCUUUAUAGAGAAACCAUAAUAACAUAUAAAAGUACCAUAUAAAAGUGUUUUGCUAUAAAAAAAUGCUUCCUAGGAAACUGUUCUAAUACAUUCCUAAUAUAGAAAAGUAAUACAAUUCUAAUCAAAUUCUAAAAUCAUCAUUCUAAAAUUAGAUUUAGAUUUAUUAUAACUUUAGCAAUAUAAAUUACUUGAAAUUCCGUUUCCACUUGUAAUCAUCCUCUAUACACUAUACUAACCAAAAUUUAUAUUAAAGCUAACUACUAAAUGUUACUUAUUCCUAACCUCCCAAAUUUCACUAGGUUGCGAGCAAAUUUCAAGCGCCUUUUCCAAACGCGAAAUAUUCACGUCAGCUUGAACGAAACAGGAUCGAGAGAAGUGAGAGGCGGCGUGCUUAUAGUAUGUAUAUGGUGGCGCGAUCUUAUGCAAUCUCAUGAUAGGAAUCAUGGGUCAGUCACUUGGCCGGCUCAUGGUGCUUCCAUGCGUUAUGAUUCUCCAGCCAGGAAGAAAAACUGUCGUACGGCAGAUAGCUUUUAUCGAAGACAUAGAAAACUAGCGUUUACGGAUUCCACUAUUGGCAUAAAUGAUACAUAAUGGUAAUAGUACAGUACAUGAUUGCUGAUGGAAGAAAGAUGAUGGCAGUUGGAAUUAUAGAAAUUAGAGUAUGGCAUAUAUUGCAUGGAUGAAUAUGGAAUAUGAUUUGGAGAGGUUAAGAUAACGAGAAUGCGGGUGAUUAGAUCUGAUGUUGAUUAGUUAGUAAAUUAUAUGAUAAAGAAAGCGUAUAUAGUCUAAAUAGGUUACUCUGUUAUAAUAAUUCAUAUUACAUAUAUAUACAUAUGUAUGUAUGUAUCCUUUUAUUCUUAUCAUAUCAAGGGAUUAGAUUUGAUGUUGGUUGUUCAAUUAUUAAAUUGAAAUUGAUAUGAUACGAAUAGAGAAACGUAUAGUAAAUGUUUAAUAAAUUUUAUCUAUGGAUUUUUUCAAAGUUUAUUGAUAUAAACGUUUGCCUUUUGUUGAAAUAUGUAUACGUUCUUCUGGUGUCCUGUGUACUUAGCUCAGAGUAUUCAAGCAAAGUAAUCUAAUUACUGUAUACAUAUUCUCUUUAUCAUAUAAAAAGAAAUAAAAUAUCUUAACUUUUUUGUGUUUUUUAAGAGGUUAGAUUUAAAUACAUGAAAGACUCAUUCUUCACAGAGGGAAAAAAGUCCUAUUCCAAUUUUAGAAAGUAACACAGAGAAAGAUUUUGUGCUCGAAAGUUGUAAAGUAUUGAUUAUCGAUUGAAUGGCGAUUGAAUUUUUCUUUAUUUUUCCGCUUAGGACGAUUUUCUUCAAUUUGAUUGAACUUUUAAUAGAACAAUCAGAUAUUAGAAUGUAUUACAAUGAUAAGAUUCAAAAGUUAAGAGAACUGACAUAUUAAUUAAAUUAUCACGGAAUGUAGAUUUGUAGAUCUGAAUGUAAAUUUUGUGAGACGAUUGUUGACUAUAUGGAGUUAGAGAAUAGAAAGUGAAUGUAUUGACGAAUAAUGCUUCUAUAGUAACUACCAGUGAGAUUGAUGUAAAAUCGAAUAACUAGAAUUGCUGCUCAGCGAACGUCCUUGAAAUUCAUCCUCUCACUCCUACUUCUAUAGAAAAUUACAUUCCUAACCUUCUCCAUCAAACAAGCGUCAUCUUAAACAUAUCAAGUUAAAAUUUAUGGUAAGCCAAUCAUUAUAAUUCCAAUACUAAAAAAAUUAACUCCAGCUAACUUCCAGGAUUAUUUCUAUCGUAUAUCCUCGAAAAGUUUUGUCAGAUAUAAAAAAGAGGUAAUAAAUAUCCUUUUAGAACUACAGAAUGACGCAGAAGUUCCAAAUAUGUUUCAUGAUGCCCAUAAAAUUUUAUCACAAUUUUUCUCUUGUUACUUUCAAUAGUCUCUUUUGAAUAAAAGAAAAUAUAUUAAAAAUUAUAUACUUAUAAAAAGGAAAAAUCGUGAUAAGAACUGCGUUACUUUUGCAUUAUCUUAUACAUCAAAUAUAAUUCUCAUCAAAUUGAAAUUGAUAAUCUACCCUUGAAAAUUCCCUCUUAUUAAAAUAUUCGAGAUUAAUUACUAAUUGCAGUCUUAUUGCAGUGUUACCAACCUAUGUAACGCACGUUACAGAUUACAAAAUGUACGAGACAAUGCAGAGAAUGACAUGUUAUCUGGAGUUAUUCAAUAGAGAGGGCAGGUGUUUUCUACUGGUCGAACCGCUCAAGUACAUGGGUACAAGUAGAAUGGUUAUGGGUGCUGUGUAAUCAUCAGCUCGCCGUGUAUCCGGGCAUUGAAUUCGAGGAUUCUCCCCGACCUCUUCAGAUCCCCUCCUCAUUGUACGCUGCUUUGGUUACUUGUCUUUCGCAAGAUGAAUGGCCAGGACCGUGUACAUCCAAUCACCAGGAAGAAACGAUCAAACCUGUAAUCGAUUCUGUAGAGAUAACACUUGAUUUUGUAAUCCUUUAUUACGAGAUAAUUUUGUUUAUUACAUAAAGCUAGGUAUCUAGGAAAUUUCGGAGAACUAGUAAUUCUGUGAAAUUAAUAGCUGAUUUUUUAAUUUUUACUACAUGAUAUUUUUCUUUUUUAUCAUAGAAAAACUGGAUGUCAAUGAAACUUUAGAAAUUUGAGUGAUUGAAAAUUUAUUGAUUUUGGAGAAUUUAAGAUCAUAAAAGUAACAAUUGAUUUAUCUUACAAAUUGCCUUUAUAUUAUAAAAGUAGGAUACUUAAAAAAUUCUUUAAAUUUAUGGCAAUUUACAAAUAAGAUCGGCUUAUGUUAGCAUAAAAUAUCGAUCUAUAAUAUGGUUAUAGCAGGCCAAUUUACAUACUUCUUUAUUAAGGAGAUCAAUAAAAUGGGGGAUUUACGAGAGUUUUGAAACAAGGCAUCGAUAGCUACCUUGGUCCGUGAUGUGGGACAGAACAGGAAGAAACGACAAUGACGUCUAUAGAUGUGACGCCAAUUCGUUUCUUGGCAAUGUACGGAAACACAUAAUCUUGACUGUAUCUAGUCUUUAUAGCCGUUUGGUAUAAACUCAUUCCCAUUUUAUUGCAUUUAUGUCCUUACUAUUGAUUUGAAAAUCAAUCUUUUUCUUUAUUUUAAUAAUUCUCUAUAUAUACAAAUAAUUUCUAUAAUCUUAAAUAAAUGAAGAAAUAAUUAUACAAAUAGCUGAGAGUUCCUAAGGUUUUUGAUGGCAUAUUCAUGCGUAGGAAAUCAUUUGGUUUACAUGUACAGACAUUGAAACACAAGUACUUACGUAUGUAUAUACGAGAUACAGCAAGUACACGUACCUAAUCGGAUUUUUCUGCGUGGUACCGGUGAAAGGGAAAAGAUACCAGCGCGGUGCGGUAGUCUGGCAGGCCUAGAUACCCAAGAUCUGUCUGUCCUCUCAUUUGUAUUCAGCAAAGUUCACGUUAUUUUAAGAUUUUCAUCUUCCAUAGAAUGUUUGCUUUCCUUCUCAUUUUGUUUAUUUGUAGGUUACUACCAUGGUACUACAUGUUAUAGCAAAUUGUAAAAUAUCAAUGAAGAGAAAGCUAUAGUUAUUCUUUGUUUAUCUGUAAUGGAGAUCAAGACAAAAACUUCCACCUAGUAAUUGAUCAUUAAAGUUGUCAAAAUACUAUACAAACAUAACAUUGAUACAUAAUAAUUAUUAUUAUGGUAUAUAUGGGAUAUUAUGGUAAUACCAUAAUAAUCAAUAUAUAAAUCAACAUAUAACAAAGAAGAUUCUAUAGAAAAGCAAAUAAACAUCGCCCCCAGGAAAAAGAUAGAGCUACUCGAUCUCAAACUCUUUACACACUCAAACAACGUAAUAUCGUAACAAUUAAGUGACAAUAAAGAAGAUUAGAUUCCAUUGUUAAACGUCGUGUCUGGCAAAACAUAUGUACUACGUGACGAACUGAUAUUAGUCAAACGCACAAGAAUUUAGAAAGUAACGGGUCACUUACGAGCCUCAAUUACUCUCAACAUCGAACGAUACGUUUGCAAAACGUUUUAAUAUUUCAAAGUACCGAGGGAAGGUCUCAGCUUAGAAAGUAUACGAUUCUUAUCUCACGGAUGAAUAAUAUUCCGACCAGGGAGCAUCGAUUCACCUGAGGGUGAUAAAAGGAAUCGUAAAUUUCUCUUACUUUCACUCUCGUUCGUUUACAUUGUUACGGAUAAUCGAUCGAAUGUAGUUUGCUGAUUAGAAUGGAUUACCAGGUAUCCUUGCGAGAUUAACCUAACAAUGAUAAAGCUUCCCUUCGUCAGUUUGGAUUUCAUUCUUUAUCUUUAUUUUGUCUUCUUCGUCCAUCCUUUGUUUCCAUUUUAUUGAUUUUUAGAUUAUUUUUAUCAAAUUUCUUUUCCUUUUUAUUUUUAUUUAUAUUUUUUCUCCCGAUAUCUUUUAUACUUUUUAGUAUUUUUAGUUUCAUUGCUAUAUCUCUCAAUUUCUCUGUCAACUUUGUUUUCUUUUACUGUGUUCAUUGUACUCGUUCCCUUCCUUUUGACUUUCUACGUAUAUCAUAUCUAUAUUAUAGGGAAUCGAUUUCUUUUUCUUACAUAUAAAACAAUUCACUAAACGCUGUUAACAGAUCUUGCUCUUAUGAAAUUGCUGAUGUUUCUAACCAACGACUCUAGUUAUCUCUUUCUAUCAUUAUACAAUUUAAUCUCUCCUAAGUUUUGCUACAUCGAACUUAAUUUUACUUUUUAAUACAUUUCCACAAAUUCUAAAUAAAAAAAGACAACCAUAUCUCAUGUCCUUUAUCAACCAGUUUUACUCUUUUCCCAGCGAGAGGGGCUGUCAAUAAAACUCCUAAUUAAUGAACUUUGUAAUCAACAAAAAUAACCUGAAAGUCUAUAUCAUUUUUCUUCAUUAUCUCCAACAAGCUUCUAGCGAAACCGAAAGCGAAAAGCUAGGAUUAAAAGGAAAAAAGGAAGUCGUAUCGUGCAAGCUAAUUUUGGUGAACGUGUUUCCGCGAUGGCACACGGAAACAACCUGAGGCAACCAGCCCAUCAAACUAACCGCCUUUCUUCCUCCUGGUACUAGAAAGCUUCCAUGGAAUUACACAAAAUUACAAUCGGACGUCAAGCUUGGCCUUUUCUAUUCCUAUCCCAUUCUUCGCCCGUAUUGCGUUACAUCUGGAGGAUACACGAAGUCCUAGAAACGAUGGAUUACCAUCAUGAAUCUAAUUGAUUGCGAAGACAAUGGAUUUUUCUAUCUGUGACAACAUUGCCUCCACUUUGGGGAUCGUCGUAGGUGAAAGCGAGACAAAUUCCUCCACUCCACUGUGCCCAGCCCCCUACUGCUCUUUCUCUGUAAUUACUUUAAUAAUCCACCUUCAUAUCAACCUUAUUUCCAAUGUCCUAGGAACUCCUUUCCCUGGCCACACAGUUUAGGUUGUUUCUUAAGUUUGUCUGGACGAUAGAUGUGACAUCAUAUUAUUGAUAAAAUAUAAGAUUAAGUGCGAAAUUGCAAUUUUGUUUUACAUUUUACUUAAGAAGUAUAACUGUCAAUACAUAAUCUUCAAAAGGAAAGGACAUUUCCAUGUUUCAUUUUCUGCAGACAUUCCCACGACAAUAUCCAUCAUCUUUUCAUCCAUUCAUAUUCUCUCAAACAUUUCAAGUAUUCCAUCAUUGUUCAUUCAAUUACGAUUGCACCAUAGAGACUCGUUUCUGCAAACACGUAACGCAACAUGAUCUUUUAAGAGUGAUGACAAUAUUUUACAAAUGGUGUUUGAUGCUUUUCACAGAACUUCCAUUUUCUAUAUUACUAACAACCUUGGUUGGAAGCCCCCAAAAAGAAAAAAAAUACAAUUUGCGACUACCUUAAGGAAACAAUAAAAUUACGGGUAUCUACCGCUGGAAAAAGUUGUUAUAAAAAAAUGAAACGACCUGUUUAUGUUCUUAAUUAAUAGUUGUAUGUAUCAUUAAAUUUUCCGUACUGUAAUACCGUAGAAUAGUUCCAGUAAUUUUUGCGUCGUCCAAUUUAAUAGUUAAUUAAAUUCUUUGAUCAUUAAAUUUGAAUUUUUUAAGUGGUUGAUUUUGAGAAAGAAAGAUUUUGAAAAGUCAAGUUACUAAUUACAAAAAGUUUAAGUUGAAAUUCUUUUAAAAUUAGGCUACAAAUUCAAAAAGUUUGAAAUGUAAAUUUAAGAAAUUUCUAGGUUUCCUCGUAGAGAAUAAUUUAUAAGCAGAGAACUUGAUGUCCGACCAUGUGACCACAAGCAAACCUAUUCUACUUUUCCCAACUGAAUUCCUAGAGUUCCAUUUCUAAAUUCAAAAACAAAUCAUAAAAUCAUAAAAUGUGAAAAUAGUAAGAAAUUGUGUAACAAGUUUUGUCAAAAAUAUUUUUAAGAAAUUAUAUUUAAAAAAUAUAUUAUGUAAUAAAACUUAGAAAUAUUGUAUACAUGUACACAGAUAGCAUUUGAUAUUACUCUACGUUCAAAAAUUGCACGCUACUGUGCCACAUUCCAAUUAAACUGCACUAAAAGCUAUAUAACGAAGAGAGAGACGACGAGAAUUGUUUAAUUUAGGUAAUAACGAAGUAUAGCUGGAAAAGUUAUGGCAUGCAAGAAUGUUAACCUCUUCAACUAAAAUUACAGACUACUUCAUUAUUGUUUUCGUGAUUACACUAACGUCGACGAACUCUACCGUUGAACUGCGCUGAUUGCACUUGAUUGUCUCGAAUGAAUAUUAUCUUCGUGUAUCAACUCGUUUUAAACGAUUAAAGUUUGAAUUGACAACUAUGUACCUUAAGUGAAGCGCGUUACACGCAUUCAUCGCCUUACCACGAACGGAAGCGGCAAUUACGUUAAUUAGCUUUCAUGGUGCAUUUUUAACGCGUGUUACAACGCCAUCUUGGUAAAAAAAGGUCAGGUAAAUCUGUCUUGCUUCUCUGGAUAAAAUACUACUCUUUAGAAAAAAAUGUAUAACUUAAUUGCUUGAUAAUUAUUUACGAAACGACUUAACUCUCUGAGGUUAAUGAUCUUGAGAUACACUGUCAAGGUCACGGAUAAUUUUUUACAUAACCAUUACUAAAGCCUAAUUUCAAAGAUAUGGAAAAUAUUUUGAAAUAAGUUACAUUUGGAUCAAAAAAUUAAUAUUAUAUUAAUAUGCGAUCAUUACAUAGCAUUAUAAUAUGAUGUUAUGUUUGACCUCGAUCAAUGAAUCGGUAAAUCGUAAAGGAUGAGAUUGUAAUUACCUUGUUCCAGAUACUAAUUGCUGUAAUAAAAUAUUUCCAUUUGCUUUAUUUGACUUUAAAGAUUGAGUUUCUAUACAUUAUCGUUUUUUAUUACCU
Molecule: RNA transcript, 7262 nt
Organism: Bombus impatiens (common eastern bumble bee)
Lineage: Eukaryota; Metazoa; Arthropoda; Insecta; Hymenoptera; Apidae
Exons: 3
Source: RefSeq, a predicted model, not a curated record